RNAcentral lists this ribosomal RNA (746 nucleotides) under fungal sp. RNAcentral describes it as "eukaryotic LSU rRNA". The stretch from base 491 to 746 matches the Rfam family "Eukaryotic large subunit ribosomal RNA", at positions 1 to 263 of the family's 3401-position model. The record is from RNAcentral. Lineage: Eukaryota; Fungi.
UACAGAGUUGCAAAACUCCCUAAACCAUUGUGAACGUUACCUAUACCGUUGCUUCGGCGGGCGGCCCCGGGGUUUACCCCCCGGGCGCCCCUGGGCCCCACCGCGGGCGCCCGCCGGAGGUCACCAAACUCUUGAUAAUUUAUGGCCUCUCUGAGUCUUCUGUACUGAAUAAGUCAAAACUUUCAACAACGGAUCUCUUGGUUCUGGCAUCGAUGAAGAACGCAGCGAAAUGCGAUAAGUAAUGUGAAUUGCAGAAUUCAGUGAAUCAUCGAAUCUUUGAACGCACAUUGCGCCCGCCAGUAUUCUGGCGGGCAUGCCUGUUCGAGCGUCAUUUCAACCAUCAAGCCCCCGGGCUUGUGUUGGGGACCUGCGGCUGCCGCAGGCCCUGAAAAGCAGUGGCGGGCUCGCUGUCGCACCGAGCGUAGUAGCAUACAUCUCGCUCUGGUCGCGCCGCGGGUUCCGGCCGUUAAACCACCUUUUAACCCAAGGUUGACCUCGGAUCAGGUAGGAAGACCCGCUGAACUUAAGCAUAUCAAUAAGCGGAGGAAAAGAAACCAACAGGGAUUGCCCUAGUAACGGCGAGUGAAGCGGCAACAGCUCAAAUUUGAAAUCUGGCUUCGGCCCGAGUUGUAAUUUGCAGAGGAAGCUUUAGGCGCGGCACCUUCUGAGUCCCCUGGAACGGGGCGCCAUAGAGGGUGAGAGCCCCGUAUAGUUGGAUGCCUAGCCUGUGUAAGCUCCUUCGACGA